AUGCAAGUCUACUGGAUUAUAUUGUACUUGUACAUUAUAUGAUGGUGGCGAACGGGUGAGUAACGCGUAGAUAAUCUACCCUUUAGUACGGGAUAAUUUCGGGAAACUGGAACUAAUACCGUAUGUGUUCUUAAAUAAGCAUUUAUUAAAGAAGAAAGAUCUUGAAUCGCUAAGGGAUGAGUCUGCGUACCAUUAGCUAGUUGGUAAUUUAACAGUUUACCAAGGCUAUGAUGGUUAGCUGGUCUGAGAGGAUGAUCAGCCACACUGGGACUGAGAUACGGCCCAGACUCCUACGGGAGGCAGCAGUGAGGAAUCUUGCACAACGGGGGCAACCCUGAUGCAGCAACGCCGCGUGAGUGAAGACUCAGUUAAUCUGUGUAAAGCUCUGUUGAAUGGGAAGAGAAAUUACUUUAGUAGAGUAAUUGGACGGUACCAUUUUAGAAAGCUCCGGCUAACUCCGUGCCAGCAGCCGCGGUAACACGGGGGGAGCAAGCGUUGUCCGGAAUUAUUGGGCGUAAAGGGCGCGUAGGUUGAAGUAUAAGUCAGCUGUUAAACGUUACGGCUUAACCGUAAUUUGCAGUUGAUACUGUAUUUCUUGAGUGUGAGAGGGGAUAGUGGAAUAUCUAGUGUAGCGGUGGAAUGCGUAGAUAUUAGAUAGAACACCUGAGGCGAAGGCGACUAUCUGGCUCACAACUGACACUGAUGUGCGAAAGCAUGGGUAGCGAACAGGAUUAGAUACCCUGGUAGUCCAUGCUGUAAACGAUGGGUACUAGGUGUUGGGGGACUUCCCCCCAGUGCCGUAGCAAACGCAUUAAGUACCCCGCCUGGGGAUUACGAUCGCAAGUUUGAAACUCAAAGGAAUUGACGGGGGCCCGCACAAGCGGUGGAGCAUGUGGUUUAAUUCGAUGCAACGCGAAGAACCUUACCUGGGCUUGAACUGAGAUUGCCGAUAUUAGAGAUAAUAUUUCUCCAGCAAUGGAACGGUCUUAGAGGUGCUGCAUGGCUGUCGUCAGCUCGUGUCGUGGGAUGUUGGGUUAAGUCCCGCAACGAGCGCAACCCUUUUCGUUAGUUACCAUCGAGUCAUGUCGGGGACUCUAACGAUACUGCCCGGGUUAACCGGGAGGAAGGUGGGGAUGACGUCAAGUCCUCAUGGCCUUUAUGUCCAGGGCUACACACGUGCUACAAUGGACGGUACAGAGCGCAGCGAGGUUGUGAGACCAAGCGAAUCGCGAAAACCGUUCUCAGUUCGGAUUGCAGUCUGCAACUCGACUGCAUGAAGUUGGAAUCGCUAGUAAUCGCGGAUCAGCAUGCCGCGGUGAAUACGUUCCCGGGCCUUGUACACACCGCCCGUCACACC
Molecule: ribosomal RNA, 1357 nt
Filed under: metagenome
Description: bacterial SSU rRNA
Rfam family: Bacterial small subunit ribosomal RNA
Source: RNAcentral